UUUUUUUUUUUGUUUAACUUUUUCAAAUCCCACUUGGACAAUUUUAAAAUAAAAUGUGGAUUUCUUUUCUUUUCUUUUCUUUUUUUAACCCCUCUCCUCUUAAAGAAUCCUUUAGAUGAAAAAAUAAGCCUAGUACCACACAAAAAUUAAAUUACCCAAGUGAUAUCCCUGUGCUUCAGGAAUCAUUCCUGCACCUUUUAAAUCAAUGCCUGUCUGUCUCUAUGGGGAUUUCAUCUUGUCUUUCUGCUCUGGGACAAGGUCUUCCCAAAGCCUUAGGUCCUUUCAGGUUGAGAAAUGCAACUCCCACUCACUCCUUGUAAGUACUUUUUGAAAAUGAUGCAGGAAAUCUAUGUAAUUCAUCAGAAAGAAGUUCUGGUUUCCAAAUAGGUGAGUUCUAUCUCCUCCUCUCCCCCUCCUAGUUCUAUGUUCUCCCACUGAGUAAAGCCAGGAACAUGCAAGUGAAAUAGGCAGGCAGGGAUUUAGCCCCAUAUGUGUCUCCCUCACUUUCAAAAACAUGAUCAGAGCAAGCACUUCUACAAACUCACAGCAGGCUUAAAAUGUGGCCAUCCAGCAGGAAAACACUUUGCUGAAUUUCUUAAAUACAGAUCAAAAUGCAGGCUCUGUGAUGUUUCUUUUCAUGGUCACUAGCCACUCGUCUAAGGGACACAUACAAACACCCCACUACACACAUCAGGAGCAAUAUGAGCACUGGGAUCGACCAAAUCUUAUUUCUUAUGCAUACAUUCAAGGAUGAAUUGUGUAAGGAUUCUUCUAUGUUAAUAAACGUUGAGAUUUUUCCCUCAGAAGGGAAAUUUUUAGGUUUUCUCUCCUCUGUGGAAAAUGUGGAAACUUGCCAUAUCAGAGAUUUAUGGUGGUGGCAGUGAUGGCUGCUAGAGAGACAAGGGCAGCCAUGUGGUCAGAGAGAAAUCAGGUGGCACUUGAAUAAAAUACAGUUCCUGGACAUUUUUAGCACAGGUCCUGCUCAGAGGCCAUGGUUUAUGACCUGUUUGUAGACAUGCUGACAUGAGAGCCACCAGGAAGUGAGCUAAUGAGUUUCUAAGGCUGAUUUUGUUCAGAUGCUGUUCAGCAUCUUUCAGAAGCCUCUUGCAUCCUGUGUAGGAGUAUCAGUGCUCCUGGGGAGUCAUUCUCAUCUCACAGAUAUGAAAAAUUGUUGGAUCUUGGCUAUAAGUGUUUGGUGUCUCUUGAUUCUUGAUAACUUCAUGUAUCCUCCUACUAAGUUUGGGAGACUGGUCUAAAAGUGUCAAUGUAGACAGGCUCAAUUACUGUAAAAUACAGUUCAUAUUGACAUAAGGUAUGCCAGAUUGAAAGGUGAACCUAUCUUCUCCUAAAGCUAUUCUAUUUAAAAUAAACUUUAAAUAUCUGUGAUUUAUUGGAUCAUCUUCACUUCAGUCUUGAUGCACAACUUCCAGGAUUACCACAGUUCAUUUACCAGAUAAAUCAGAAGUCCUCUCAGUGGAGUAUGUUACUUUGUGUACAAGGCCAUGAACAUACCUGUGCAUUAAAUGAUAGUUUUUGAACAACUUUGGAAGCCGACAUAAAAAAACCCACGUUGCAUUAGCAGACUAUUAUCAAAAUAGCAAAAAGCUGAGGAAUAGAUACUCAGAUAACAGAUAAUAUAUCUGAAAUGGAUUUUCCCCCCACCCCAAGUAAUAAAUCCAUCUCCAUAAUGAUAGUGCUCAGAUUGAAGCUAUGAGUCUGCAAACAUGCACUUGUAUAGUUCCCUUCCAGGUGGGAAGAGCUCCAGGCUUUUGUGGAGUAAAACUUCGUAACAGAGUUCUUCUUAUAAAUCUUUGCUCUUAAGGUUUUCUGCCUUGAUUAGGAAAGAUCAUUCAAGGUUGGCAGCUGGCACAAAAAGGUUGGUGUGAUCUCAUGAUCAAAUUUUUAUUUUUGAUACAACUGGUAGGAGCAAAACUUGACUGGUUGUGCACUUCUCAUCAGCAGACAACUUUCGACAUUGGAGUAUAACAGACAUCAGCUGUAUAAGAUUUAAAUCUGAAUGACUGGUUUGUACAGGAACAAUUUCUGUCAGUGUUUGUACAGCAGUGGAGAAUAAUAUAGACUGUAUGUUGCUGAGGACAAUUGGGCAAUAUUUUAAUAUGGACUUGAUGCACCUACUCACUUUCUUUUCACAGACAUCAUAGAAGAGUACAUCUAGUCUAACAUGUUUAAUGAUGGUGGGUAUGACACUUCAUCUAGUUCUUGCUGUAUUAAGCCUAGGAACUUACUGAACCAUGAAUGUAAUUUAGACUUUCAUGAGUUGAUGGAUUGCUUAAACCACAACCUCAUUAAGUUCAACAAAGACAAAUGUGAAGCUCUAGGAUGGAAUGUCCCCAUGUGCCUGACAGGCUGUGCACUGACUGGCGAGCAGCUCUGCAGGGAAAAGUCUGUUAUUCCUGCUGGACACCAAGCUGAAUGUGAGUUAGCAGUUGCAGUGAGGAAAGCCAGCUGAACAUUGAAAUGUGUUACCAAAAGCCUAGCCAGCAUCUCAGAGGAAAUGAUCAUGCCCUUCUACUUAGUCACUCCUGGAGUGCUGUGCCUGGUUUUGGGCCUCCCCAUGCAAGAGAGGUAUGAACUAACUGUAGUGAGUCCAAUGAAGAACAAUGAAAAGGGCUGGGGCUCAAAUACAUGAUGCAGCAUGAGAUGCUGAGGGUGCUGGGCUUGUUCAUCCUGAAUUAGAGAAGGUUUGUGGGAGAUCUAGUUGCAGUUCUCUACCAAAUGGAAAGGAAGGGGGCUGACAGAGAAAACAGAUCCAGGUUCUGCAGAGAUGCACAGUGAAAGGAAAAGAAGCAACGGGCACAAGCUGCAGUAAAGGAAAUUCUUACCAGACAGAAGGACCCUCCUUCUACCUGUCUGUCUACCCCAGGAGUCGUGCAGCACUGGAACAGGGGAUCCCACAGCCCAGAGAUGCUGUGGGGUCCCCUGCUGUGGCUUUGAAAUAGAUCCUGCUGUUAGAAGGAUAUUGGAAGAGGAUAAUGUCAUUACAGAAACAGCUCAGCGUACUAACAGAUGUGGAAUCAUAGUGUCCCAGCAGAGCUUUGGUAGAGGCUGUGACUCCCACGGCACGAAGAAACAGUUUUUAGGACACUGCCACACAGCACAAUAUAUUCUCCUUUGAGGUGGCCAUAACAGCUUACCAGUACAAAAUGGCUGUGCAUUUCCUAACGUCUCUAAUAUUACUUGAUUUGAUCAACCACGUGAAGUCUUAUGUGCAAGGCAGGCUGCCUUUUACAGGAUGGACUGAUGGAGCAGACAGAACAGAAAAUAGAAGAUUAAAUACCAAAUUAUAGAUAGAAAAGAAGAACCAGCAAUGCUCUUGUAAUUAAUGGGGCAUUAUUCACAUGACUGCAUGGAAGGGGAGGAGGUUUAUGUAUGUCCUACAUGAGAGGAUGGGACUUUAUUCAUCCGUUAGCAGUGACCAGUACAAUGCAUCACGUGAGUCCUGGUCUAACGGUACAAGCCUAUUCCCCUCUUUCCUAUUCAGUCUGUUCCUGGCAGUGAUCUCCAGGCCUGUGACAAUGUCAGACAGGCUAUCUCUAGUUAGAUAUAAUCAUCACACUAAAAGAACAUUGAGAAAGAACAAAUUCAUCCAUGUGAAGAAGAAGUUAUACAUGCAGAUUUUUCUUUUGCAGUGAAACUACUAAAUCAUGUCUCCCCAGCCUGAACACUCAGUUGUUUGCACAUGAAAUUGGAGAGAAGAGGAUAUUUACUCUACCUGAUCCCUUUGGUUCCCUGCUUAAAAAAUGAAGAGCUUUGAUCUGAAAUUAAUGAAAAAGAAGCAUAAUCUGUUUUACAUAGAUGUACCCAGGAGACUUUUCAAAUAGCACCUUUUUUUUUUUUUUUUUAAUUUUUUAAUUGAAGGCAAGGAAACUUAGCAAAAAAGGGACAUUUUUACAAGCUGACAUGCACAGCAAUUUUUCUGACUCUUUAACAGGGACUGCAUGAGGAUAUAUCAGUCCUUUGACUCC
This 3986-nucleotide long non-coding RNA is filed under the name Strigops habroptila (Kakapo). RNAcentral's name for it is "lncRNA (ENSSHBG00005015180.1)". Lineage: Eukaryota; Metazoa; Chordata; Aves; Psittaciformes; Psittacidae. The record is from RNAcentral.